UUUUUUAAAGCAGCAAAUUCUCUAAGAUUGGAACAAUACAGAGAAGAUUAGCAUGGCUCUUAUGCAAGGAUGAUGUGCAAAUUCAUGAAGCAUUACCUUAAAAA
Small nuclear RNA from Jaculus jaculus (lesser Egyptian jerboa), 104 nucleotides. Lineage: Eukaryota; Metazoa; Chordata; Mammalia; Rodentia; Dipodidae. The record is from RefSeq and is a predicted model, not a curated record.